CCCAGCUCCAGAUCCAUAACUUAAUCCCAUCUACAAAGUAGAGUCUCUUUUGCAAGAUAAGAAUAUGAGAGAAUUUUCACUUUGCUUGAAGGAGUACAAGGACCUCUUGCAGUCAAGAAACAAUUUGUUGAAUUUACCAUCAAGGAAGCUGCAAGGUUCAAAAGACGAGUCUUAAUUCAGUACCUUGAGAAGGUACUAGAAAAAAUAGAAUCCUAUCACCUUCUCAACAAUGUUAAUCACAUCAACAGCAGAUCAUGAUAUUACCGCAGAGACCAAGAAGGAGAAAAGAACAAGUUCUCUGUGUUGUAGGACAGAGCGGGAAAUUGUUGAACAUCCCAGGAUGUUUUACUCAAGGGAACUGGCUUCCAGAGGUUAAGAAAAAGCAAUGACAGCUUUCAUUUUCUGACUCUCUGGCAGUAAAAGCUGGCUUUGCCCUGUUUUCUUUGAAAGUACUAACUAGUUGUUUUUUUUGUUACUUUUCCCAAUUGAGGAAGGUGAUAUGAUUAAUCCAGCAGGUUCAGUUCAGUGAACACACACAAGUGACAAGGGUUCACUCUUGAGUUCAGUCAUCCUGGGCAUGUCCAGAGUGACUAGGGGCCACCUGCAGGCAGAGCACUACCUGAUGCUCUUACUAUGUCAUUUAGAAAGAAGAGGGGUUCAGAGUCCACCUGCUAAUUGUGUGUGUUCUGAACGAAGUUUUCAACAAUUCCUAGUUGUGCCUUUAAAACCAUGCAAUAUUCAGGACAGUUUGGAUCAAAGAGUGAGAAAGCUGCUAUUUGGGUAACUUAUUUCUCCAUGGGAGGGGGCAGGGAGAGUCACCAAAUGAUCUACCUCCAACUGUCUUCUAUUUUGUCUAGAGACAUUACAAAGUACGCCUGAGGCCACCCCCACCCCUGACGUUUGUUCUUGCAUGUGAUGCCAGAAAGGCUUCAGGUGGACUUGUGCAUUCUGUGCUUCAGAAGCACUAAAAAAAAAUAAUGUAGAUAUUUCCUUUAAUGUUUAUACAAAAGUUUUUAUGGAGCAGUAUUGUUAUGUUUGUAUUUGCAGAAAUUUAAGUGUACAAAGAGAUUUUGACUUUUCAUAUAUAAAAUAAAUCAUUUUAUUGAUUUUUCACAAGGUC
Long non-coding RNA from Bos taurus (domestic cattle), 1120 nucleotides. Lineage: Eukaryota; Metazoa; Chordata; Mammalia; Artiodactyla; Bovidae. The record is from Ensembl.